Molecule: ribosomal RNA, 455 nt
Filed under: uncultured bacterium
Lineage: Bacteria
Description: bacterial SSU rRNA
Rfam family: Bacterial small subunit ribosomal RNA
Source: RNAcentral
GUGAAUGAUGAAGGUCUUAGGAUUGUAAAAUUCUUUCACCGGGGAAGAUAAUGACGGUACCCGGAGAAGAAGCCCCGGCUAACUUCGUGCCAGCAGCCGCGGUAAUACGAAGGGGGCUAGCGUUGCUCGGAUUUACUGGGCGUAAAGGGCGCGUAGGCGGACAGUUUAGUCAGAGGUGAAAGCCCGGGGCUCAACCCCGGAAUUGCCUUUGAUACUGGCUGUCUUGAGUUUGGGAGAGGUAUGCGGAACUCCGAGUGUAGAGGUGAAAUUCGUAGAUAUUCGGAAGAACACCAGUGGCGAAGGCGGCAUACUGGCCCAAUACUGACGCUGAGGCGCGAAAGCGUGGGGAGCAAACAGGAUUAGAUACCCUGGUAGUCCACGCCGUAAACGAUGAUUGCUAGUUGUCGGCACGCAUGCGUGUCGGUGACGCAGCUAACGCAUUAAGCAAUCCGCCU